This is a long non-coding RNA of Trifolium pratense (red clover), 3199 nucleotides long. RefSeq lists it as uncharacterized. NCBI's taxonomy places the organism in Eukaryota, Viridiplantae, Streptophyta, Magnoliopsida, Fabales, Fabaceae. The record is from RefSeq and is a predicted model, not a curated record. The transcript has 11 exons.
GGUUCUUUUGUUUGUCAGAGGGCUUGUAUUGUACUCUUAGAUAUAUAUGCACAACCAAAAUGAAAAUACACAAAGAAAAUCAAAAUUCGUUCUUUCUUCUUCAAGAAACAAAACACGCACACAUUGUGGUUCGCUCAAAGAUCGGCUGUAGAGGAGAAUGGCAGAAACUAAGGAAAGAUCAUCAGGCUGUAGAGGAGAAUGGCAGAAACUAUUUAUAGUUUCAACUAUUUAUAGUUUCUGAGGUCCAGUCACAUCCACCAAAGAGUAUUGUGAAGAAAAUUAUGUACAUUCGUCAUACAUUGCAGAACUUUAUAACACUAUAUCCAACAUUCCCACAAUUAUUUUGGCUCUGAUUGGUCUUAUAAAUGCUUUAAGACAGCGAUUUGAGAAAAGGUUCAGUAUCCUUGAUCUAUCAAACAGGACACUUGCCAUUGGGAGCAUGUUGUACCACGCCACACUGCAACGAGUGGAUCUAGAAUGGUUACACACAUGGCUUCUAUACCAUCUCCAUAAGUGUGCAUUGAUGUGAUAGAGAUCUGGAUUUGAUGGAAAAACUAUUGUUAUUGCCUUGGCAACUGGGCAAAAGCGCUUUAGUGCCUCUCUGUGCAAGCUUGUUGAUAAAUAUGCUGAAAUCUUAGCAAGUCAAGGGUUGCUGACCAUAUUAAUGGAGUAUCUAAAACUUUUGGGUUCUGAAGAACUUUCGACAGAACUUGUUGUGAUAUUGAAGGACCGAAUUGCAUUGUCUACGGAACCUGGUAAACUUUUUCUUGGAUUUCUAUAUGCCAUGGUUAAAAAAAUAGAGGAAAAUGAUACAAAUUGAAUGCUAUUUAUUAGCAAGUGACUCUUCAAAUGCCACUUCUGGUUGAGGAAUAAUUCAAGUACUAGCAUUAUUGUGUAUUUUAUUCUAGUGGGAUAGCAUUACCAUUAUAAUUGCAUAGUGAACAUCAGUGCGUAGUUAUAUUUUGCUCUUAAUAAACGUGCAACAUUAUACACCUAACCAUAUUUCAGGAAGAUAUUGCCGGUUUUAGAAAGACCUAACUACUCAAGUGAUUACUUAUUGAUCACUCUUUUAAUAUUGUUAAUAACUAGUAGACUGGUUACUUAUUGAUCCGGAGCUGCCUCUUGUUGCUAAAUACCCUAGCUCCGAUCGUUUCAACCAUUUAUCUUGGGGGAGAAACGGUUCUUCUUCUGAAGGUUUUUCUCUCGGUCUCGUUGCUGGUGGAAUAUGCAAUGGAAACAUUGAUAUCUGGACUCCUUUCACUCUGAUUCGGUGAUUUUAUUUUAUUUUUUUCAAUCUUGCACGUUGUUUUUUUCAUCUUAAGAAUUGAUGAUUUCGUUUAAUAGAUUGUGAAAUGCAUUGAUUGGAGAUAUGAUUAUAUAUCAGUAAUUCCGAUUUCGGAGAAGUAGAAAUGUUUUUCUGACGUUAUGAAUUGAUCUUGGAAUUUGCUGAAAAUUUUGUUUUAUAUAGUUCAGUUACAAUUUUCACGUAGUGCUAAAUGCUUUGGUGGUUUAAGUCUGGAGAAUUUUGGUUCAUUUCUGCUCGUUAUUGUAACACAUAAGGGACCGGUAUGUUCUUCUCUGUUUUUGUGAGCCUACUUGCUGCAAGUUUUUAUCAUCUUCUUUGUUCUCUGGCAUAUAAGUAGUGUUUGCUAUUGAAAUCAUAUCUUCGACAUUCUUAUAUCUCAGGUUUGUGGACUUGAGUUUAAUACAAUUGCACCCAAUUUUUGUGAUUUGAUGCAAGUAAAGGAUAAUUUUGGCUGCCAUUUAUACAUAAUCUAUGUGUUGGGAAACUCAAAACUAAAUUCCCGUACUAGAAUGGUUGUCAGGUAUCAUGAAAAUGGAGCAACACAGUAGUUUCUGUUUGAGUAAACAAAUUAAUUGAGCUUCUUUGCUAGCUUCAUGUUUUUCUUUUAUUUGGUUGAAGUUGUUGAUAAAAUACACCUACAUUAUAAUUCAGUAUGUAGGUUCAUAGCUUUAUUGAUCAGUGUUUUAAUUUUAGUGUCGCAUGAUACAAUUUUCUCAAUUUCUUUCUAAUGAUUUUGUUUUUCUGAUAAAUUUUCUCCGCUUGGAGGAAAAUGAAAGUUCUCUCGUUGGACAACUUGUAAGGCAUAAGGGACCGGUUCGUGGACUUGAGUUUAAUACAAUUGCACCCAAUCUUCUUGCAUCUGGUGUUGAGGAUGGUGAAAUUUGCAUAUGGGAUUUGGCCAAUCCUUCAGAGCCUACACAUUUUCCACCAUUAAAGAUAAGAAUUUUUUUCCCUCUAUGGUGUUUAGUCACCCCCUCUUAUGAUGGAUUAAUAUGCUCUUAAUCUUCAAAUAUAUGGCUCUAUAAUUUGAUAUUUUUACACAUAGUGUUUAUGAUCACUGUGCAGGGUAGUGGCUCUGCUUCCCAGGGGAAGUUUCAUUCUUAUCUUGGAAUAGUAAAGUGCAACACAUAUUAGCAUCCACUUCAUAAAAUGGGACCACUAUGGUUUGGGACCUAAAGAAGCAAAAGCCAGUGAUAAGCUUUGCAGUGGAAUCCUGUGUUGCUACACAACUUGUUGUUGCAUCAGAUGAAGACGGAUCUCCUUCUAUAAGGCUUUGGGAUAUGAGAAAUAUAAUGACACCGAUAAAGGAGUUUUUGGGGCACCGAUAUGAGGAAUAUAAUGACACCGAUAAAGGAGUUUUUGGGGCACACUAGAGGCGUAAUUGCAAUGUCAUGGUGUCCCAAUGAUAGCUCUUAUUUGCUUACCUGUGGCAAAGAUAGCCGAACCAUAUGCUGGGACACUAUUUCUGGAGAGAUUGCCUGUAAAUUGCCAGCCGGAACUAACUGGAACUUUGAUGUGCAUUGGUAUUCUAAGAUACCUGGAGUAAUAGCAUCUUCCUUUGGAAAAAUAGGCAUGUACAAUAUUAAGAAGACUUUGGCUAGGGAAGAAACCCGUUUCCGACCAUCCUGCUGCUUUAAUUUGUAUCUUAUGAUUAGUAGACACGUGUUAAAUAUUUUCUUUCUAAAGAUGAAUUAUAAAACUGCUACUUGUCAGAAUUAUCAAUGAGAGAAGGUUUAUAAAGAUAACUAAGCUUUCUUGAAUAUAAGCAUGCCGUUGGAGAGCAUAUAAUUCUAGGACUUGGAGGCUGUAUUUUGAACUUCAGUGAUUUAUGUUGUCGCUCGUUUAUUUUUCCAUGCUUAUUCUGAAUAUUGACUUACAUGUAAAGAGGCUGCU